RNAcentral lists this ribosomal RNA (600 nucleotides) under uncultured delta proteobacterium. RNAcentral's name for it is "bacterial SSU rRNA". It matches the Rfam family "Bacterial small subunit ribosomal RNA", at positions 54 to 669 of the family's 1533-position model. Lineage: Bacteria; Deltaproteobacteria. The record is from RNAcentral.
CAUGCAAGUCGAACGAGAAAGUUCCUUCGGGAACAAGUACAGUGGCGCACGGGUGAGUAAUAUGUAGAUAAUCUGCCCCUAAGUUUGGGACAACCAACCGAAAGGUUGGCUAAUACCGAAUGAGACCCCACUUUCCACGGAAAGAGAGGUUAAAGAUUUAUCGCUUAGGGAUGAGUCCACAUCCGAUUAGCUUGUUGGUGAGGUAAAGGCUCACCAAGGCUGGGAUCGGUAGCUGGUCUGAGAGGAUGUCCAGCCACACUGGAACUGAGACACGGUCCAGACUUCUACGGAAGGCAGCAGUAGGGAAUUUUGCGCAAUGGGGGAAACCCUGACGCAGCAACACCACGUGAGUGAUGAAGGCCUUCGGGUUGUAAAACUCUGUUCUUAGGGAAUAAAAAAAUGAAGGUACCUAAGGAGAAAGGACUGGCUAACUUCGUGCCAGCAGCCGCGGUAAUACGAAGGGUCCAAGCGUUGUUCGGAAUCAUUGGGCGUAAAGUGGGUGUAGGUGGUUAAGUAAGUCAGAAGUGAAAGCCCUGAGCUCAACUCAGGAAGUGCUUUUGAUACUGCUUGACUAGAAUGUAGGAGAGGAUAGUGGAAUUC